GUUCAUAUCGACGGCGGUGUUUGGCACCUCGAUGUCGGCUCAUCACAUCCUGGGGCUGAAGUAGGUCCCAAGGGUAUGGCUGUUCGCCAUUUAAAGUGGUACGCGAGCUGGGUUUAGAACGUCGUGAGACAGUUCGGUCCCUAUCUGCCGUGGGCGCUGGAGAAUUGAGGGGGGCUGCUCCUAGUACGAGAGGACCGGAGUGGACGCAUCACUGGUGUUCGGGUUGUCAUGCCAAUGGCACUGCCCGGUAGCUAAAUGCGGAAGAGAUAAGUGCUGAAAGCAUCUAAGCACGAAACUUGCCCCGAGAUGAGUUCUCCCUGACUCCUUGAGAGUCCUGAAGGAACGUUGAAGACGACGACGUUGAUAGGCCGGGUGUGUAAGCGCAGCGAUGCGUUGAGCUAACCGGUACUAAUGAACCGUGAGGCUUAACCUU
Molecule: ribosomal RNA, 433 nt
Filed under: Escherichia coli
Lineage: Bacteria; Pseudomonadati; Pseudomonadota; Gammaproteobacteria; Enterobacterales; Enterobacteriaceae
Description: partial 23S ribosomal RNA
Rfam family: Bacterial large subunit ribosomal RNA
Source: RNAcentral